AGCUUCCUACGGGAGGCAGCAGUGAGGAAUAUUGGUCAAUGGGCGCGAGCCUGAACCAGCCACGUCGCGUGAGGGAAGACGGUCCUAAGGAUUGUAAACCUCUUUUGUCGGGGAGCAAAAGACGCCACGCGUGGCGUUCCGAGAGUACCCGAAGAAAAAGCAUCGGCUAACUCCGUGCCAGCAGCCGCGGCAAUACGGAGGGUGCGAGCGUUAUCCGGAUUUAUUGGGUUUAAAGGGUGCGCAGGCGGAAGAUCAAGUCAGCGGUAAAAUUGAGAGGCUCAACCU
RNAcentral lists this ribosomal RNA (285 nucleotides) under uncultured bacterium. RNAcentral describes it as "partial 16S ribosomal RNA". It matches the Rfam family "Bacterial small subunit ribosomal RNA", at positions 333 to 615 of the family's 1533-position model. The record is from RNAcentral.